Brachypodium distachyon (stiff brome) is the source of this 2040-nucleotide long non-coding RNA. RefSeq lists it as uncharacterized. The record is from RefSeq and is a predicted model, not a curated record. Lineage: Eukaryota; Viridiplantae; Streptophyta; Magnoliopsida; Poales; Poaceae. The transcript has 2 exons.
CGAAACCUUCAUCCUCGGGGGCUGCUCGGCGGCGGUGACCUCGCGCCGGCGGCGGGCUCCACGAUGACGCCUCCUCCAUCCAACCCCAGGCACCGCCUUCGAAGACGCCGCUUCGCCGUAUGAUCUCCCAUCGCUCCCGCUGGCACGAGAGGUUGCUGGUGAGGAUUUCCCGGCUCCCUUCAGUUCGGAUUCGAGAGCCGAAAUAAUUUCAUCUCGCUUCACUUGGGCUGACUGUCGUGCUUAACCUAGGACGCUGGUUAACCAAUUUCCUUUCGCACAAUUUUUUAUUGUUUCAACAUAUUGCGGCUGUCAGUGUCUACUUUUCAUCAUCAAUAGAUAAAGAAGCAAUGCUGAGAGGAGAGAGAGUGUGCCAUAGUAAUACGAAACCAUGAUUCACGAGAGCAACACUAAUGAUUCAACAGAUAAAGAAGCAAAUGUUCUAUUUUUUGUAUUAUGGUAGGAGUAACUAAUAAAUGAUCUCGGCUUGAAAAAGGCAUGACGCCGUGCUGAGUAUCUUGGAUGACAAAAUAGGAAGCCAAGUACUAACAGAGAUCGAGAGGAGCAAGCAGGGAGACACAGUGAUGCCUCAUGAGCGGCCAACAAUCUCGUCAAUCUGGGCUUGAGAAAGGCAGAGAUGCCUAGCUUGAUGAUGUCGGAUGAUAAGUGAAAUACUAACAGUCGUCGGUAGUGUGUUCACCAAGGUUUGGCUAAUCCUCACACUACUGAUAGGUUGCCGGUUCGCUUGUCGGUGAUGACUUAUUAGGGCUCUCGGCAGGCAACCACCACUGAUGGGCCUGCUUGUGCCCAUCAGAGGUGAGUUAUAUCGCUGACAUCUGCGCUAAUGCCUGUCUAUAGUGACGAUCACCCAUAACUGUCUUCGAGCAACGACAUUUUUGUUUUUAGUUGUUUAUAACUAGCUGUUGCAACUCUUCCCAGUUGUGAUUAUCUUCAGAAUAUUGAGAAGUACGGUAACAUUGAAAGGAUCUUCAUUCUUCACAAUUGUAAAUACCAGUCAAUUUAUCAAAUAAAGUUCAGAACUCUGCCAAUGUAUCAGGUGCUGCUGCUACAUAAAAACUCAAAUGCUGCAAAUUUGCAAUCAAACAGUUGUACAAACUACUCCAGUAAACACUACCUACGGUCAGUUAUGUGAAUUAUUUCUGUAAUUAGGCCACUUGCCAUUUGCAAUCAACUCAUUGGUCUCCGGUUCUGUGUGUGAAUCUUUUUUCACAAAAUCAGUUGAGUCUCUUUCUGCCUGGAUUGAGACAGGAGUACCAUGGAAUUGCAUGGGACGUUUUUAGCAUGACGUGUAGUGGUCUUGGCAGUAUCUUUCCUUUGCUCAGCACUUCUACAAAUUGCACGGGUGUACAUACCCGUCGUUUGUUUCUGGCUGUAGGUGAACCAUUCCUGAACUCCCUGACCAUAGCCCAUUAUAUUGACUAGUAACUCAUAAUGUAGUGGCUCUGUUCUGUGGCUGUUUUUAGGAAAUAUGGCACGAUGACUAGAACAUGCUUGCUGCUGAAUUUACCACUGCUUUUCUUCUCAGUUUUUUAGUGACAUUUUGAUAUGUUUCUUUGCAGAAUAAUUAAACAGAGGCUAUCGCCAUCGAGAAGCAGACCAUCACUGCCAUCACUAUCACCCAGGAAAUGCGCCGGUUCUGCAGCCUCUCGGGGUUGUAAUUUUAUAUGAAGAAGAAAGAAAUGCAAGAUGAUCUAAUUAUUGCGGCGAGGAAUGCACCAAGUUGGCAUUUCGGCAUCUACUAGCAGUCUUAUCUAAGAGAUACUCCAUCCGAUCCAUAAUAAGUGUGGUUGGGGGAUUUAGUAAUCUUGUACUGAAUCCCCGACACUUAUUAUGGAUUGGAGGGAGUAUGAUGCAAUUAUCAAGAGGAUGCGCAUUGCACAAGAACUGUUUGUAAGCAGGUUAUAAAAUUUCAGAUUAACAGAUUCACAUUUGUAUUAAUGGAUAGGAUCAUAUUAUGUGGCCAUGUACUUUGUAAUUUAUCUGUGAUCUGCGAGUUAUGCACGGUAAUUGGCUGUGAUCUAA